UAGGGAAUAUUGCACAAUAGACGGAAGUCUGAUGCAGCAACGCCGCGUGUGCGAAGAAGGCCUUCGGGUUGUAAAGCACUUUUAGCGGGGAAGAGGAAGGACAGUACCCGCAGAAUAAGCCUCGGCUAACUACGUGCCAGCAGCCGCGGUAAGACGUAGGAGGCGAGCGUUAUCCGGAUUUACUGGGCGUAAAGCGCGUGCAGGCGGUUGCGCAAGUUGGAUGUGAAAGCUCCUGGCUUAACCGGGAGAGGUCGUUCAGAACUGCGUGACUAGAGAGCGAAAGAGGGAGGCAGAAUUCCGAGUGUAGUGGUGAAAUGCGUAGAUAUUCGGAGGAAUACCAGAGGCGAAGGCGGCCUCCUGGUUCGCCACUGACGCUGAGACGCGAAAGCUAGGGUAGCAA
This 400-nucleotide ribosomal RNA is filed under the name uncultured bacterium. Its description in RNAcentral is "bacterial SSU rRNA". It matches the Rfam family "Bacterial small subunit ribosomal RNA", at positions 355 to 771 of the family's 1533-position model. The record is from RNAcentral.